GUGGCCAAGCCAUAUCCACCUUGUUUGGGAUCUAUAACAGCAAUAGAAAAAUGUAUGAAAACUUCCAUUGAUUUAGUUCCAGAGUUUCUACUACACUUACUGGUUCCUAUCCUCCACAGACUCUUUUACUGGCAGUCACCUGGCAUCCUGUGAAAUAUUACUGCUUUCGUCUUCAAAGAGCACUAGCUUCAGAAGAGGCCGCACAGUGAUUGUGGUGGAUCAAGAGAAAAAGAACAACUCUCUACAGUCAGAUGGUGCUCACACCUGAGGUUCAAAGAAGACUCAGGAUUCCUUGAAGGAGGAGCCCAAAAUCAGCAACAGGUAGCAGCACAGCAUCCAAAGCCACCCACCUCCAAGCUUUCCCUUGGGCUGAACUGAGUUUGGGUUCCUGUCUGUUCACAAGAUGAUGUCAACCUGUGUGGCACCCAGAAGACUCACCAACCCCUGAGAGAGUAGCCAACCAUGAGUGCCAGGUAAAGGCAUGGCCCCCUCGGGUGCUCACACUGCUUCAAGAUUUCACUUGGUCUGAACAGUGAGUGCCUGGUGGGACUGGUCUGGAAGAUGGAGAUAUGACAAGCAGUGGCAUCCACAGCCAAAGAAAACAUGUUAUGGUACUGCUGCUGUUGGAGGCAUUCUUGCACCUCUUAGAUGAUGCUGACACUACCCCUCAUGAUGUCAAUGCUUGCUAAAUGAUAAGAUGUUCUGGAUGGCUCACAAGCCAGGCCUCUGCAGCUUGCUCCCUUUGCUAAGUUGACGGACACUAAUGAUUACAUAUGGACAGACCAAAAGUCUGGACUGACUUGGUUUCGUGACAAAACCAAGCCCUGUAUCUGCCAGAACUGGACCAAAGGCCUUUUGUAUCAAAUAUUUCACAACCUGUUUUGUUCUCACAGACUGGCAGGGACACAUGGAGAUGAAACUGUCCAUAUUAAAGUACUGUGAAGCCACAAAGUAUAAAUAGUAAUCCAGGUCUCAUUUUCAUAGAAGUACAGAUACAGACAGAAAUCAAAGAGCCAUUGUUCCCUAACUUCCUUGCUGCUGCAAAGGGUUACUACUUAAUUGCACUACUUGUGCCUCCCUGACAGGCACCCGAUAUGUGACUCCCCCCACUAUUUCUAUAGAUCAAAUUGCUAUUGUAAAUCACAAGACUUUUGACUCCAUUGCUGUUUAAGUCUUAAGACUGGUCUUUGAGGUGUUUUUCAAACUCUGCAUCCUGGAGACCU
Molecule: long non-coding RNA, 1223 nt
Organism: Lemur catta (Ring-tailed lemur)
Lineage: Eukaryota; Metazoa; Chordata; Mammalia; Primates; Lemuridae
Exons: 6
Source: RefSeq, a predicted model, not a curated record